UGGGGGAAGAAGGCUCUUGGGUUGUAAACCCCUUUUCUCUGGGAAGAAAGUUGUGAAAGCAACCUGACGGUACCAGAGGAAUCAGCAUCGGCUAACUCCGUGCCAGCAGCCGCGGUAAGACGGAGGAUGCAAGCGUUAUCCGGAAUGAUUGGGCGUAAAGCGUCCGCAGGUGGCAGUUCAAGUCUGCUGUCAAAGACCGGGGCUCAACCUCGGAAAGGCAGUGGAAACUGAACAGCUAGAGUAUGGUAGGGGCAAAGGGAAUUCCUGGUGUAGCGGUGAAAUGCGUAGAGAUCAGGAAGAACAUCGGUGGCGAAGGCGCUUUGCUGGACCAUAACUGACACUCAGGGACGAAAGCUAGGGGAGCGAAUGGGAUUAGAUACCCCAGUAGUCCUAGCCGUAAACGAUGGAUACUAGGUGUUGUCUGUAUCGACCCGGACAGUGCCGUAGCUAACGCGUUAAGUAUCCCGCCUGGGGAGUACGCACGCAAGUGUGAAACUCAAAGGAAUCGACGGGGGCCCGCACAAGCGGUGGAGUAUGUGGUUUAAUUCGAUGCAACGCGAAGAACCUUACCAGGACUUGACAUGUCGCGAAUCUUCCUGAA
Molecule: ribosomal RNA, 601 nt
Filed under: uncultured Antarctic cyanobacterium
Lineage: Bacteria; Bacillati; Cyanobacteriota
Description: bacterial SSU rRNA
Rfam family: Bacterial small subunit ribosomal RNA
Source: RNAcentral